AACUUUGCACAGUGGAAGUAUCGUAGCCAAUGAGGUUUAUCCGAGGCGUGAUUAUUGCUAAUUGAAAACUUUUCCCAAUACCCCGCUGUGACGGCUUGCAAUACAAUCGGCACUGGCAAUUUUUGACAGUCUCUACAGAGA
RNAcentral lists this small nuclear RNA (141 nucleotides) under Cebus imitator (Panamanian white-faced capuchin). Its description in RNAcentral is "U4 spliceosomal RNA (ENSCCAG00000008317.1)". It matches the Rfam family "U4 spliceosomal RNA". From Rfam's summary of the family: U4 small nuclear RNA (U4 snRNA) is a component of the major U2-dependent spliceosome. The structure of U4 snRNA from yeast and human has been reported. U4 snRNA presents a k-turn RNA motif in the 5p-SL related to recognition of Snu13 protein. Lineage: Eukaryota; Metazoa; Chordata; Mammalia; Primates; Cebidae. The record is from Rfam by way of RNAcentral.